GAUGAACGCUAGCGGCAGGCCUAAUACAUGCAAGUCGAACGGUAUAGAGAUUAUUUUCGGAUAAUUUCUAGAGAGUGGCGAACGGGUGAGUAACAAGUAUAGAACCUACCUGGUACAGGGAGAUAACCGACUGAAAAGUUGGCUAAUACGCCAUAACAUUAUAUAUCGGCAUCGAUAUAUAAUCAAAGCUACGGCGGUACCAGAUGGCUAUGCAUCCUAUUAGCUAGUUGGUAAGGUAACGGCUUACCAAGGCUACGAUAGGUAGGGGCCCUGAGAGGGGGAUCCCCCACACUGGAACUGAGACACGGUCCAGACUCCUACGGGAGGCAGCAGUAAGGAAUAUUGGUCAAUGGGCGCAAGCCUGAACCAGCCAUGCCGCGUGCAGGACGACGGCCUUAGGGUUGUAAACUGCUUUUAAUGGAGAAUAAACCUCUUUGCGAGACAAAGAGCUGAAGGUAUCCAAAGAAUAAGGAUCGGCUAACUCCGUGCCAGCAGCCGCGGUAAUACGGAGGAUCCAAGCGUUAUCCGGAUUUACUGGGUUUAAAGGGUGCGUAGGCGGCUAAUAAAGUCAGGGGUAAAAUACAUAAGCUUAACUUUAUGGCCUGCCCUUGAAACUCAUUAGCUAGAGUAUGGUGAGUGUAGGGCGGGAAUGUGACAAGUAGCGGGGGAAAUGCAUAGAUAUGUCACAGAACACCGAUCGCGAAGGCAGCUUACAGUACCAUAACUGACGCUGAGGCACGAAAGCGUGGGGAGCAAACAGGAUUAGAUACCCUGGUAGUCCACGCCCUAAACGAUGAUUACUAGUUGUCGGCGAUACACAGCCGGUGACCAAGCGAAAGCGAUAAGUAAUCCACCUGAGGAGUACGUUCGCAAGAAUGAAACUCAAAGGAAUUGACGGGGGCCCGCACAAGCGGAGGAGCAUGUGGUUUAAUUCGAUGCUACGCGAGGAACCUUACCUGGGCUUGAAAGUUAGUGAUGAGACUGGAAACAGUUUUUUCCGCAAGGACACGAAACUAGGUGCUGCAUGGCUGUCGUCAGCUCGUGCCGUGAGGUGUUGGGUUAAGUCCCGCAACGAGCGCAACCCCCAUGUACUGUUGCCAGCGCGUAAAGGCGGGGACUCAGUACAAACUGCCUGCGUAAGCAAGGAGGAAGGAGGGGACGAUGUCAAGUCAUCAUGGCCCUUACGUCCAGGGCUACACACGUGCUACAAUGGUCGUUACAGAGGGCAGCAAUGUCGUGAGGCGGAGCAAAUCUCAGAAAGACGAUCUCAGUUCGGAUCGAAGUCUGCAACUCGACUUCGUGAAGUUGGAUUCGCUAGUAAUCGCGUAUCAGCAACGACGCGGUGAAUACGUUCCCGGGCCUUGUACACACCGCCCGUCAAGCCAUGGAAGUUGGGAGUAUCUGAAGCAUGUAACCGCAAGGAGCGUGUUAGGAUAAUACCAAUGACUGGGGUUAAGUCGUAACAAGGUAGCCGUA
Molecule: ribosomal RNA, 1476 nt
Filed under: uncultured bacterium
Lineage: Bacteria
Description: bacterial SSU rRNA
Rfam family: Bacterial small subunit ribosomal RNA
Source: RNAcentral